This 371-nucleotide ribosomal RNA is filed under the name Enterococcus faecium. Its description in RNAcentral is "bacterial SSU rRNA". It matches the Rfam family "Bacterial small subunit ribosomal RNA", at positions 322 to 685 of the family's 1533-position model. Lineage: Bacteria; Bacillati; Bacillota; Bacilli; Lactobacillales; Enterococcaceae. The record is from RNAcentral.
AGACACGGCCCAAACUCCUACGGGAGGCAGCAGUAGGGAAUCUUCGGCAAUGGACGAAAGUCUGACCGAGCAACGCCGCGUGAGUGAAGAAGGUUUUCGGAUCGUAAAACUCUGUUGUUAGAGAAGAACAAGGAUGAGAGUAACUGUUCAUCCCUUGACGGUAUCUAACCAGAAAGCCACGGCUAACUACGUGCCAGCAGCCGCGGUAAUACGUAGGUGGCAAGCGUUGUCCGGAUUUAUUGGGCGUAAAGCGAGCGCAGGCGGUUUCUUAAGUCUGAUGUGAAAGCCCCCGGCUCAACCGGGGAGGGUCAUUGGAAACUGGGAGACUUGAGUGCAGAAGAGGAGAGUGGAAUUCCAUGUGUAGCGGUGAA